GACUCCUCUUAAUUAUUUAAAAUGAUCUUGGUUUGAUAUCUAAUAUUGACAGAUCUUGCCUUCCAAAGUAAAGUUAAAGAAUUGAGUCAUUGACUGGAAAUCUCUGCAAAAUUAAAAAUAGACUGGCAUAGAGGAGAGCGUCCAGGAAGAAGCUGGUGUUUUUCUUAACAACAGUUACUUGGAUUCAACCAGGGAAAUGAGGAAAGAGACUGUGGUCAAUAAUGACUGGAAUGUGAUGGAGAGGAAGAGACAGCACACAGUUGAAAUUUUUCCUGAUGAAAGAGAUAGCAUCGAUGGAAAACUUCUAAACCGAUAA
This 316-nucleotide long non-coding RNA is filed under the name Macaca mulatta (Rhesus monkey). RNAcentral describes it as "lncRNA (ENSMMUG00000063393.1)". Lineage: Eukaryota; Metazoa; Chordata; Mammalia; Primates; Cercopithecidae. The record is from RNAcentral.